GGAAAGCAGGGUGAAGUUGUGCUGCCAGAAACUUGAAAACCGGCGAAGGGUUAAACCUUCCGUGGGUUCGAAUCCCACUCUCUCCGCCA
Molecule: transfer RNA, 89 nt
Filed under: Stenotrophomonas sp. GD04006
Lineage: Bacteria; Pseudomonadati; Pseudomonadota; Gammaproteobacteria; Lysobacterales; Lysobacteraceae
Also listed under: 1 other name
Description: tRNA-OTHER
Source: RNAcentral